Molecule: transfer RNA, 92 nt
Filed under: Verrucomicrobiaceae bacterium
Lineage: Bacteria; Pseudomonadati; Verrucomicrobiota; Verrucomicrobiia; Verrucomicrobiales; Verrucomicrobiaceae
Also listed under: 1 other name
Description: tRNA-Ser
Source: RNAcentral
GGCUCGAAUUAUCAUAGGAAAGAACAGGUUAUGCGAUCCUCGGCAAAGGACUGAAAAUCCUUGUGUCGACAGUUCGAUUCUGUCCCGAGCCA